AGCCUUUUAGUUUAACGGUAGAACAUCAUCCUUCUAAGAUGAGAAUAUUGGUUCAAUUCCAAUUUAGGCUU
Molecule: transfer RNA, 71 nt
Filed under: Spathaspora arborariae UFMG-19.1A
Lineage: Eukaryota; Fungi; Ascomycota; Pichiomycetes; Serinales; Debaryomycetaceae
Description: tRNA-Arg (TCT) (tRNA-Arg-TCT-2-1)
Rfam family: tRNA
About the family: Transfer RNA (tRNA) molecules are approximately 80 nucleotides in length. Their secondary structure includes four short double-helical elements and three loops (D, anti-codon, and T loops).
Source: RNAcentral